GACGAACGCUGGCGGCGUGCCUAAUACAUGCAAGUCGAACGAGAGCGACCGGUGCUUGCACUGGUCAAUCUAGUGGCGAACGGGUGAGUAACACGUGGGUAACCUGCCCAUCAGAGGGGGAUAACAUCCGGAAACGGAUGCUAAAACCGCAUAGGUCUUCGAGCCGCAUGGCUUGAAGAGGAAAAGAGGCGCAAGCUUCUGCUGAUGGAUGGACCCGCGGUGCAUUAGCUAGUUGGUGAGGUAACGGCUCACCAAGGCCGUGAUGCAUAGCCGACCUUAGAGGGUGAUCGGCCACAUUGGGACUGAGACACGGCCCAAACUCCUACGGGAGGCAGCAGUAGGGAAUCUUCCGCAAUGGACGCAAGUCUGACGGAGCAACGCCGCGUGAGUGAAGAAGGUUUUCGGAUCGUAAAACUCUGUUGUUAGAGAAGAACAAGUGCUAGAGUAACUGUUAGCGCCUUGACGGUAGCUAACCAGAAAGCCACGGCUAACUACGUG
Molecule: ribosomal RNA, 498 nt
Filed under: uncultured bacterium
Lineage: Bacteria
Description: partial 16S ribosomal RNA
Rfam family: Bacterial small subunit ribosomal RNA
Source: RNAcentral